GCAGCGUUCCGGCUCUGUCGCUUGUGUCGCUUUAAUGGCAUUACACAAGAGGAAAGUCCGGGCAGCACAGGGUGCCCCACUUCCGAAAAUAGAAGUUGUUGGCAACAGCAAGUAAGGGCAGAAGAAAAUAACCGCCAUGCCCCAUCUGUAAAGGUGUGACAUGGUAAGGGUGAGAAGGCGGUGUAAGAGACCACCAGACGACGGGUGACCGUUCAUGCUGUGUCCACUGGGGGCUGCAAGUUCAUGUAAACCGUCGUUGAGGGUUGCCCGCCCGACUUAUUCCGACGGAGGGUAGAACGCUUUAGGUACGGGGUGACUCGUAUCAUAGAUAGAUGACAGGCAUCGCGGGCUGUAAUGCCUACGAAACGGAACCCGGCUUACAGGGACACUGCUUUC
RNAcentral lists this RNase P RNA (396 nucleotides) under Prevotella sp. OH937_COT-195. RNAcentral's name for it is "RNase P RNA component class A". It matches the Rfam family "Bacterial RNase P class A". From Rfam's summary of the family: Ribonuclease P (RNase P) is a ubiquitous endoribonuclease, found in archaea, bacteria and eukarya as well as chloroplasts and mitochondria. Its best characterised activity is the generation of mature 5'-ends of tRNAs by cleaving the 5'-leader elements of precursor-tRNAs. Cellular RNase Ps are ribonucleoproteins. The record is from RNAcentral. Lineage: Bacteria; Pseudomonadati; Bacteroidota; Bacteroidia; Bacteroidales; Prevotellaceae.